RNAcentral lists this ribosomal RNA (468 nucleotides) under uncultured bacterium. RNAcentral describes it as "partial 16S ribosomal RNA". It matches the Rfam family "Bacterial small subunit ribosomal RNA", at positions 38 to 507 of the family's 1533-position model. The record is from RNAcentral.
GAGGAAAGAGGGAGGCGUGCUUAACACAUGCAAGUCGAACGGAAAGGCCCUGCUUUUGUGGGGUGCUCGAGUGGCGAACGGGUGAGUAACACGUGAGUAACCUGCCCUUGACUUUGGGAUAACUUCAGGAAACUGGGGCUAAUACCGGAUAGGAGCUCCUGCUGCAUGGUGGGGGUUGGAAAGUUUCGGCGGUUGGGGAUGGACUCGCGGCUUAUCAGCUUGUUGGUGGGGUAGUGGCUUACCAAGGCUUUGACGGGUAGCCGGCCUGAGAGGGUGACCGGCCACAUUGGGACUGAGAUACGGCCCAGACUCCUACGGGAGGCAGCAGUGGGGAAUAUUGCACAAUGGGCGGAAGCCUGAUGCAGCAACGCCGCGUGCGGGAUGACGGCCUUCGGGUUGUAAACCGCUUUCGCCUGUGACGAAGCGUGAGUGACGGUAAUGGGUAAAGAAGCACCGGCUAACUACGUG